Molecule: ribosomal RNA, 316 nt
Filed under: uncultured bacterium
Lineage: Bacteria
Description: bacterial SSU rRNA
Rfam family: Bacterial small subunit ribosomal RNA
Source: RNAcentral
AGGAAUAUUGGUCAGUGGCCGAGAGGCUGAACCAGCCAAGUCGCGUGAGGGAUGAAGGUUUAUGGAUCGUAAACCUCUUUUAUAAGGGAAUAAGUGCGGGACGUGUCCCGUUUUGUAUGUACCUUAUGAAUAAGGAUCGGCUAACUCCGUGCCAGCAGCCGCGGUAAUACGGAGGAUCCGAGCGUUAUCCGGAUUUAUUGGGUUUAAAGGGUGCGUAGGCGGCCUUUUAAGUCAGCGGUGAAAGUCUGUGGCUCAACCAUAGAAUUGCCGUUGAAACUGGGGGGCUUGAGUAUGUUUGAGGCAGGCGGAAUGCGUG